Leptopilina heterotoma is the source of this 593-nucleotide long non-coding RNA. RefSeq lists it as uncharacterized. NCBI's taxonomy places the organism in Eukaryota, Metazoa, Arthropoda, Insecta, Hymenoptera, Figitidae. The record is from RefSeq and is a predicted model, not a curated record. The transcript is spliced from 3 exons.
CACAGUCGCUCCAAUGGAUUUUCAACCGUCUGUGCCAGGAACAUCAAAUUCUAAUUUUUCGAAGUCAGAAAUAUCAAAGUCUCAAAUUUUAGUGCAAUCAUCUUCAAAUUCUCAAACCUCCAAGCCAGAACUUUCAAGUUCCCAAUUGUCGAAGCCAAGAAUCUCAAAUUACCAAAUUUUUAAACCAGGAACAUUAACAUCUGAAGUGACAGUGACAAAAUUUUUAAAAGAGCAGAACACAAUUCUUAUGAAGCAAAAUAAAAUAAUUGCUAAUAAUCAAAAGCAUAUUUUACUCUAAUUAGCAAAACAUGAAAAAAGUAAUGAAGAGAAAGAAUUGUCUAAUAAUCUUUUUCAACCUGCUGAUGGUUUUCCGUUGAAUAGCAUAGAAGAGUUUCUGGAAUUCGAGUCAGAAAGCGAAGAAAAACGCGCAAAACUUGUGCAUAAGUCAUUCACAAAAUCAAAAUUGGAAAAAUUCAUAAGCGAACAAUUUGUCCACUUAUCAAAGUAAAUACUUCUGUUUAACUUUUAUUAAAUCAUUCUCAAAUAUGAUUGAACUUUUGUUUCAUCACAAGCAGCUACUAACUAUAGGAGGA